UACGAAGGGGGCUAGCGUUGUUCGGAAUCACUGGGCGUAAAGGGCGCGUAGGCGGCUUGAUAAGUCGGGGGUGAAAGCCUGUGGCUCAACCACAGAAUUGCCUUCGAUACUGUCGAGCUUGAGACCGGAAGAGGUAAGUGGAACUGCGAGUGUAGAGGUGAAAUUCGUAGAUAUUCGCAAGAACACCAGUGGCGAAGGCGGCAUCCUGGACCAAAACUGACGCUGAAUAGCGAAAGCCAGGGGAGCAAACGGG
Molecule: ribosomal RNA, 253 nt
Filed under: uncultured bacterium
Lineage: Bacteria
Description: partial 16S ribosomal RNA
Rfam family: Bacterial small subunit ribosomal RNA
Source: RNAcentral